RNAcentral lists this ribosomal RNA (330 nucleotides) under uncultured bacterium. Its description in RNAcentral is "bacterial SSU rRNA". It matches the Rfam family "Bacterial small subunit ribosomal RNA", at positions 8 to 334 of the family's 1533-position model. The record is from RNAcentral.
AGAGUUUGAUUAUGGCUCAGGAUGAACGCUAGCUACAGGCUUAACACAUGCAAGUCGAGGGGCAUCAGGAUGUAGCAAUACAUUGCUGGCGACCGGCGCACGGGUGAGUAACACGUAUCCAACCUGCCUUUUACUCGGGGAUAGGCUUUCGAAAGAAAGAUUAAUACCCGAUGGUAUAAUAUUCCUGCAUGGGUUUAUUAUUAAAGAAUUUCGGUAAAAGAUGGGGAUGCGUUCCAUUAGGCAGUUGGCGGGGUAACGGCCCACCAAACCUUCGAUGGAUAGGGGUUCUGAGAGGAAGGUCCCCCACAUUGGAACUGAGACACGGUCCAA